This 252-nucleotide ribosomal RNA is filed under the name uncultured bacterium. Its description in RNAcentral is "partial 16S ribosomal RNA". It matches the Rfam family "Bacterial small subunit ribosomal RNA", at positions 525 to 776 of the family's 1533-position model. The record is from RNAcentral.
ACGGAGACUGCGAGCGUUACUCGGAUUUACUGGGCGUAAAGGGUCCGUAGGCGGACAUGUGUGUCGGGUGUGAAAUCCUGCAGCUCAACUGCAGAACUGCGCCCGAAACUAUAUGUCUAGAGUAUUGGAGAGGUGAGUGGAAUUCCUGGUGUAGCGGUGAAAUGCGUAGAUAUCAGGAGGAACACCAACGGCGAAGGCAGCUCACUGGACAAUUACUGACGCUGAGGGACGAAAGCAUGGGUAGCGAAAGGG